RNAcentral lists this ribosomal RNA (418 nucleotides) under uncultured microorganism. RNAcentral's name for it is "bacterial SSU rRNA". It matches the Rfam family "Bacterial small subunit ribosomal RNA", at positions 9 to 417 of the family's 1533-position model. The record is from RNAcentral.
GAGUUUGAUCAUGGCUCAGGACGAACGCUGGCGGCGUGCCUAAUACAUGCAAGUCGAGCGGAUCUUCAUUAGCUUGCUUUUGAAGAUCAGCGGCGGACGGGUGAGUAACACGUGGGCAACCUGCCUGUAAGACUGGGAUAACUUCGGGAAACCGGAGCUAAUACCGGAUAAUCCUUUUCCUCUCAUGAGGAAAAGCUGAAAGACGGUUUCGGCUGUCACUUACAGAUGGGCCCGCGGCGCAUUAGCUAGUUGGUGAGGUAACGGCUCACCAAGGCGACGAUGCGUAGCCGACCUGAGAGGGUGAUCGGCCACACUGGGACUGAGACACGGCCCAGACUCCUACGGGAGGCAGCAGUAGGGAAUCUUCCGCAAUGGACGAAAGUCUGACGGAGCAACGCCGCGUGAGCGAUGAAGGCCU